GGCCGCGUGGCCUAAUGGCUAAGGCGCUAGAUUUCGGUCUUCUAAAAUCUCUAGAGAUUCCAGGUUCGACUCCUGGCGUGGUCG
This is a non-coding RNA of Stachybotrys chartarum IBT 40288, 84 nucleotides long. Lineage: Eukaryota; Fungi; Ascomycota; Sordariomycetes; Hypocreales; Stachybotryaceae. The record is from Rfam.